UGGGGAAUUUUGGACAAUGGGGGAAACCCUGAUCCAGCCAUCCCGCGUGUGCGAUGAAGGCCUUCGGGUUGUAAAGCACUUUUGGCAGGAAAGAAACGUCAUGGGUUAAUACCCUGUGAAACUGACGGUACCUGCAGAAUAAGCACCGGCUAACUACGUGCCAGCAGCCGCGGUAAUACGUAGGGUGCAAGCGUUAAUCGGAAUUACUGGGCGUAAAGCGUGCGUAGGCGGUUCGGAAAGAAAGAUGUGAAAUCCCAGAGCUCAACUUUGGAACUGCAUUUUUAACUACCGGGCUAGGGUGUGUCAGAGGGAGGUGGAAUUCCGCGUGUAGCAGUGAAAUGCGUAGAUAUGCGGAGGAACACCGAUGGCGAAGGCAGCCUCCUGGGAUAACACUGACGCUCAUGCACGAAAGCGUGGGGAGCAAACAGG
RNAcentral lists this ribosomal RNA (429 nucleotides) under Acidobacteriota bacterium. RNAcentral's name for it is "Acidobacteria bacterium partial 16S ribosomal RNA". It matches the Rfam family "Bacterial small subunit ribosomal RNA", at positions 355 to 776 of the family's 1533-position model. The record is from RNAcentral. Lineage: Bacteria; Pseudomonadati; Acidobacteriota.